UAGGGAAUAUUGCUUAAUGGGCGCAAGCCUGAAGCAGCAACGCCGCGUGUGCGAUGAAGGCCUUCGGGUCGUAAAGCACUUUUUGGAGGGAUGAGGAAGGACAGUACCUCCAGAAUAAGUCUCGGCUAACUACGUGCCAGCAGCCGCGGUAACACGUAGGAGGCAAGCGUUAUUCGGAUUUACUGGGCGUAAAGCGCAUGUAGGCGGUCUGGAAAGUUGGAUGUGAAAGCUCCCGGCUUAACUGGGAGAGGUCGUUCAAAACUACCAGGCUAGAGGAUGGGAGAGGGAGGUGGAAUUCCGGGUGUAGUGGUGAAAUGCGUAGAUAUCCGGAGGAACACCAGUGGCGAAAGCGGCCUCCUGGCCCAAACCUGACGCUCAGAUGCGAAAGCUAGGGUAGCAAACG
This 403-nucleotide ribosomal RNA is filed under the name uncultured bacterium. RNAcentral's name for it is "bacterial SSU rRNA". It matches the Rfam family "Bacterial small subunit ribosomal RNA", at positions 355 to 774 of the family's 1533-position model. The record is from RNAcentral.